RNAcentral lists this long non-coding RNA (1063 nucleotides) under Canis lupus familiaris (dog). RNAcentral describes it as "lncRNA (ENSCAFG00030013996.1)". Lineage: Eukaryota; Metazoa; Chordata; Mammalia; Carnivora; Canidae. The record is from RNAcentral.
GUGGGUAUUGUUGAGUUAAAUAUGUAAUAGUCCAUGGUCGGGUUAUAAGCCCUCUAGGUUUGGUUUUUCAAGAGGUAUAGACUUAUUUCCAAGUAAAUAAAAGGGAAAUUGAGAAUCAUGAGUAGUUUAUGUAACUUUGUGUGUUUAUGUGUGUGACUUACAGACUCAAUUUCAUAAUAAUUUAAUCCAUUUAACUGCAAACCAUGUCAAGCUUAAUAAACAAGUCUCUUAAGUAUACUUAAAAACUAAAGUAAUUAACUCAUUUCAGAAAUGCUGAAAUUUUCUCAAACAGCUCUCAUAUUGUAGCUUUAGUAUAGAUAUUAAAUCCAUAAUUAGAGCUAAAAAGGAAAGUGAUUAAAGCAACUCUUUUACUUUAAAUAAUCUUGUUCAAAGUUAUUCUAAGAGUGAAUUCUUUUCACUAGUGUUAGAAGACAAUUACUGUGGAAAAAAAAUUUGUUUUUAUUUUAGCUUCUAAAGAUGGCACAGCUGGGAUACCCACCUACAACUUUAUGAUGUGAAAACCGGUACAUGUUGAAGUCUUUCAUCCAGAAAAAAAUGCAAAAUUGGUGUCCAUCUUGGUCAGAAGAUGAAACUAUCUGUGCCCGAAUGUUAACAACGAAGUUCACUUCUUUGAAAACAACAAUUUUAGUAUGGAAAGAUAUGAAAUAAAUUUAUUAUUUCUAUAAAUGCAUAUAGCUUUACUCUGCCUUAUAUGGCAUCAUAGGGUUCUCCUAAAUACUAUUUUAAUAAUUGCUGUUUUAUUAAUUCAUUUGAAUAACUUGUGUUAACUAAAGAAAUUAUAAUAUAGAUUUUCUUUUUUUUUUUUUUUUUUAAUUUUUUUUUAAAGAUUUUAUUUAUUUAUUCAUGAGAGACACAGAGAAGAGGCAGAGACACGGAGAGGAGAAGCAGGCUCCCUACAGGACGUCUGAUGUGGGACUCAAUCCCAGGAUCAUGACCUAAGCCAAAAGCAGAUGCUCAACCACUGAGCCCCAGGCAUCCCAAUUUUCUUUUAAUAAGCUUUAUUGUCUAAUAAUUGAUAUUAAGACAUUUGCAUACUUCUUUC